ACUCAAAUGAAUUGACGGGGGCCCGCACAAGCAGCGGAGCAUGUGGUUUAAUUCGAAGCAACGCGAAGAACCUUACCUAGACUUGACAUCUCCUGAAUUACCUUUAAUCGGGGAAGUCCCUUCGGGGACAGGAAGACAGGUGGUGCAUGGUUGUCGUCAGCUCGUGUCGUGAGAUGUUGGGUUAAGUCCCGCAACGAGCGCAACCCUUAUUGUUAGUUGCUACCAUUUAGUUGAGCACUCUAGCGAGACUGCCCGGGUUAACCGGGAGGAAGGUGGGGAUGACGUCAAAUCAUCAUGCCCCUUAUGUCUAGGGCUACACACGUGCUACAAUGGUCGGUACAGAGAGAUGCUAAACCGUGAGGUGGAGCCAAACUUUAAAACCGAUCUCAGUUCGGAUUGUAGGCUGAAACUCGCCUACAUGAAGCUGGAGUUGCUAGUAAUCGCGAAUCAGAAUGUCGCGGUGAAUACGUUCCCGGGCCUUGUACACACCGCCCGU
This 496-nucleotide ribosomal RNA is filed under the name uncultured bacterium. Its description in RNAcentral is "partial 16S ribosomal RNA". It matches the Rfam family "Bacterial small subunit ribosomal RNA", at positions 899 to 1397 of the family's 1533-position model. The record is from RNAcentral.